This 769-nucleotide ribosomal RNA is filed under the name uncultured archaeon. Its description in RNAcentral is "bacterial SSU rRNA". It matches the Rfam family "Archaeal small subunit ribosomal RNA", at positions 1 to 769 of the family's 1478-position model. The record is from RNAcentral.
GCCCUUUGGUUGAUCCUGCCGGAGGCCAUUGCUAUCGGAGUCCGAUUUAGCCAUGCUAGUCGCACGAGUUUAUACUCGUGGCAAAUAGCUCAGUAACACGUGGCCAAACUACCCUAUGGACAGGAAUACUCUCGGGAAACUGAGGCUAAUUCCUGAUACAGCUUCCAUGUUGGAAUGCAGGAAGCUGGAAACGCUCCGGCGCCAUAGGAUGUGGCUGCGGCCGAUUAGGUAGACGGUGGGGUAACGGCCCACCGUGCCAGUAAUCGGUACGGGUGAUGAGAGUCAGAGCCCGGAGACGGUAUCUGAGACAAGAUACCGGGCCCUACGGGGCGCAGCAGGCGCGAAACCUUUACACUGCACGACAGUGCGAUAAGGGGACUCCGAGUGCGAGGGCAUACAGUCCUCGCUUUUCUGUACCGUAAGGUGGUACAGGAACAAGUGCUGGGCAAGACCGGUGCCAGCCGCCGCGGUAAUACCGGCAGCACAAGUGAUGGCCGAUAUUAUUGGGCCUAAAGCGUCCGUAGCUGGCCAGAUAAGUCUGUUGGGAAAUCCACGCGCCCAACGCGUGGGCGUCCAGCGGAAACUGUCUGGCUUGGGGCCGGAGGACUCGAGGGGUACGUCCGGGGUAGGAGUGAAAUCCCGUAAUCCUGGACGGACCACCGGUGGCGAAAGCGCCUCGAGAGGACGGACCCGACAGUGAGGGACGAAAGCCAGGGUCUCGAACCGGAUUAGAUACCCGGGUAGUCCUGGCCGUAAACGAUGUCUGCUA